RNAcentral lists this ribosomal RNA (837 nucleotides) under uncultured Mycobacterium sp. Its description in RNAcentral is "bacterial SSU rRNA". It matches the Rfam family "Bacterial small subunit ribosomal RNA", at positions 545 to 1379 of the family's 1533-position model. The record is from RNAcentral. Lineage: Bacteria; Bacillati; Actinomycetota; Actinomycetes; Mycobacteriales; Mycobacteriaceae.
CCGGAAUUACUGGGCGUAAAGAGCUCGUAGGUGGUUUGUCUCGUUGUUCGUGAAAUCUCACGGCUUAACUGUGAGCGUGCGGGCGAUACGGGCAGACUUGAGUACUGCAGGGGAGACUGGAAUUCCUGGUGUAGCGGUGGAAUGCGCAGAUAUCAGGAGGAACACCGGUGGCGAAGGCGGGUCUCUGGGCAGUAACUGACGCUGAGGAGCGAAAGCGUGGGGAGCGAACAGGAUUAGAUACCCUGGUAGUCCACGCCGUAAACGGUGGGUACUAGGUGUGGGUUUCCUUCCUUGGGAUCCGUGCCGUAGCUAACGCAUUAAGUACCCCGCCUGGGGAGUACGGCCGCAAGGCUAAAACUCAGAGAAAUUGACGGGGGCCCGCAGCAAGCGGCGGAGCAUGUGGAUUAAUUCGAUGCAACGCGAAGAACCUUACCUGGGUUUGACAUGCACAGGACGCCGGCAGAGAUGUCGGUUCCCUUGUGGCCUGUGUGCAGGUGGUGCAUGGCUGUCGUCAGCUCGUGUCGUGAGAUGUUGGGUUAAGUCCCGCAACGAGCGCAACCAUUGUCUCAUGUUGCCAGCGGGUAAUGCCGGGGACUCGUGAGAGACUGCCGGGGUCAACUCGGAGGAAGGUGGGGAUGACGUCAAGUCAUCAUGCCCCUUAUGUCCAGGGCUUCACACAUGCUACAAUGGCCGGUACAAAGGGCUGCGAUGCCGCGAGGUUAAGCGAAUCCUUUUAAAGCCGGUCUCAGUUCGGAUCGGGGUCUGCAACUCGACCCCGUGAAGUCGGAGUCGCUAGUAAUCGCAGAUCAGCAACGCUGCGGUGAUACGUUCCCGGGC